RNAcentral lists this ribosomal RNA (2909 nucleotides) under Providencia rettgeri. RNAcentral describes it as "23S ribosomal RNA". It matches the Rfam family "Bacterial large subunit ribosomal RNA". The record is from RNAcentral. Lineage: Bacteria; Pseudomonadati; Pseudomonadota; Gammaproteobacteria; Enterobacterales; Morganellaceae.
GGUUAAGCGACUAAGCGUACACGGUGGAUGCCUAGGCAAUCAGAGGCGAUGAAGGACGUGCUAAUCUGCGAUAAGCGUCGGUAAGGUGAUAUGAACCGUUACAACCGACGAUUUCCGAAUGGGGAAACCCAGUGCAAUUCGUUGCACUAUCGUUUGAUGAAUACAUAGUCAAACGAAGCGAACCGGGGGAACUGAAACAUCUCAGUACCCCGAGGAAAAGAAAUCAACCGAGAUUCCCCUAGUAGCGGCGAGCGAACGGGGAGCAGCCCAGAGUCUUAAUCAGCAUUAGCAUCAGGAGAACGGUCUGGAAAGUCCGGCAGUAAAGGGUGAUAGCCCCGUAUCCGAAGGUGUUAGUGUUGUGAACUCGACGAGUAGGGCGGGACACGUGUUAUCCUGUCUGAAUAUGGGGGGACCAUCCUCCAAGGCUAAAUACUCCUGAUUGACCGAUAGUGAACCAGUACCGUGAGGGAAAGGCGAAAAGAACCCCGGCGAGGGGAGUGAAAUAGAACCUGAAACCGUGUACGUACAAGCAGUGGGAGCCUUGAUUUAUCAGGGUGACUGCGUACCUUUUGUAUAAUGGGUCAGCGACUUAUAUUCUGUAGCAAGGUUAACCGUAUAGGGGAGCCGUAGGGAAACCGAGUCUUAACUGGGCGAAUAAGUUGCAGGGUAUAGACCCGAAACCCGGUGAUCUAGCCAUGGGCAGGUUGAAGGUUGGGUAACACUAACUGGAGGACCGAACCGACUAAUGUUGAAAAAUUAGCGGAUGACUUGUGGCUGGGGGUGAAAGGCCAAUCAAACCGGGAGAUAGCUGGUUCUCCCCGAAAGCUAUUUAGGUAGCGCCUCGUGAACUCAUCUUCGGGGGUAGAGCACUGUUUCGACUAGGGGGUCAUCCCGACUUACCAACUCGAUGCAAACUACGAAUACCGAAGAAUGUUAUCACGGGAGACACACGGCGGGUGCUAACGUUCGUCGUGAAGAGGGAAACAACCCAGACCGCCAGCUAAGGUCCCAAAGUCAUAGUUAAGUGGGAAACGAAGUGGGAAGGCUCAGACAGCCAGGAUGUUGGCUUAGAAGCAGCCAUCAUUUAAAGAAAGCGUAAUAGCUCACUGGUCGAGUCGGCCUGCGCGGAAGAUGUAACGGGGCUAAACUAUGCACCGAAGCUGCGGCAGCGAUAUGUAAAUAUUGUUGGGUAGGGGAGCGUUCUGUAAGCCUGUGAAGGUGUGCUGUGAGGCAUGCUGGAGGUAUCAGAAGUGCGAAUGCUGACAUAAGUAACGAUAAUGCGGGUGAAAAACCCGCACGCCGGAAGACCAAGGGUUCCUGUCCAACGUUAAUCGGGGCAGGGUGAGUCGACCCCUAAGGCGAGGCAGAAAUGCGUAGUCGAUGGGAAACGGGUUAAUAUUCCCGUACUGGUGAUAAUUGCGAUGGGGGGACGGAGAAGGCUAGGCUAUCCGGGCGACGGUUGUCCCGGUUUAAGGAUGUAGGCAGGUGAAUUAGGCAAAUCCGGUUCACUACAUGCUGAGGUCCGACGACGAGUCACUACGGUGAUGAAGUAGCUCAUGCCCCGCUUCCAGGAAAAGCCUCUAAGCUCUAGAUUAUCAUUAAUCGUACCCCAAACCGACACAGGUGGUCAGGUAGAGAAUACUCAGGCGCUUGAGAGAACUCGGGUGAAGGAACUAGGCAAAAUGGUGCCGUAACUUCGGGAGAAGGCACGCUGGCAUUAGGUGAAGUGAUUUACUCAUGGAGCUGAAGCCAGUCGCAGAUACCAGCUGGCUGCAACUGUUUAUUAAAAACACAGCACUGUGCAAACACGAAAGUGGACGUAUACGGUGUGACGCCUGCCCGGUGCUGGAAGGUUAAUUGAUGGGGUUAUCCGUAAGGAGAAGCUCUUGAUCGAAGCCCCAGUAAACGGCGGCCGUAACUAUAACGGUCCUAAGGUAGCGAAAUUCCUUGUCGGGUAAGUUCCGACCUGCACGAAUGGCGUAAUGAUGGCCAGGCUGUCUCCACCCGAGACUCAGUGAAAUUGAACUCGCUGUGAAGAUGCAGUGUACCCGCGGCAAGACGGAAAGACCCCGUGAACCUUUACUAUAGCUUGACACUGAACAUUGAGCCUUGAUGUGUAGGAUAGGUGGGAGGCUUUGAAGCGUGGACGCCAGUCUGCGUGGAGCCAACCUUGAAAUACCACCCUUUAAUGUUUGAUGUUCUAACGUUGCCCCAUUAUCUGGGGUGCGGACAGUGUCUGGUGGGUAGUUUGACUGGGGCGGUCUCCUCCCAAAGAGUAACGGAGGAGCACGAAGGUUGGCUAAGCAUGGUCGGACAUCAUGCGGUUAGUGCAAAGGCAUAAGCCAGCUUGACUGCGAGAGUGACGGCUCGAGCAGGUACGAAAGUAGGUCUUAGUGAUCCGGUGGUUCUGAAUGGAAGGGCCAUCGCUCAACGGAUAAAAGGUACUCCGGGGAUAACAGGCUGAUACCGCCCAAGAGUUCAUAUCGACGGCGGUGUUUGGCACCUCGAUGUCGGCUCAUCACAUCCUGGGGCUGAAGUAGGUCCCAAGGGUACGGCUGUUCGCCGUUUAAAGUGGUACGCGAGCUGGGUUUAGAACGUCGUGAGACAGUUCGGUCCCUAUCUGCCGUGGGCGUUGGAAGAUUGAAAGGGGCUGCUCCUAGUACGAGAGGACCGGAGUGGACGCACCACUGGUGUUCGGGUUGUCAUGCCAAUGGCAUUGCCCGGUAGCUAAGUGCGGAAGAGAUAACCGCUGAAAGCAUCUAAGCGGGAAACUUGCCUUGAGAUGAGUCUUCCCUGACUCUUUAAGAGUCCUAAAGGAACGUUUAAGACUAAGACGUUGAUAGGUUGGGUGUGUAAGCGUAGCGAUACGUUGAGCUAACCAAUACUAAUGAACCGUGAGGCUUAACCUG